This 256-nucleotide ribosomal RNA is filed under the name uncultured bacterium. RNAcentral describes it as "partial 16S ribosomal RNA". It matches the Rfam family "Bacterial small subunit ribosomal RNA", at positions 524 to 769 of the family's 1533-position model. The record is from RNAcentral.
CACGUAGGGCGCGAGCGUUUGUCCGGAAUUAUUUGGGCGUAAAGAGCUCGUAGGCGGCCUGUUGCGUCCGCUGUGGAAAUCCGCCCCGGCUCAACUGGGCGGGGUCGAGCGGAUACGGUGUGGCUCGAGCAAGCUAGGGGGCAAGUGGAAUUCCCGGUGGUAGUGGUGGAGUGCGUAGAUAUCGGGAGGAACACCAGUGGCGAAGGCGGUUGCCGUGGAGCUUUGCUGACGCUGAGGCGCGAAAGCGAUGGGGAGC